CUGAGGAGUUCAUGGACACCAGUCUUGGGGCUGCAAGACACAAACAGCCGCCAAAUGCACCAGACACAUCUGGAAGCAGAGGGGAAGUACAGCAAACCACAUAGCCCCAACCAUUACCAGCCUGUGGCCAAUGUGAUGUCAACCGGCCUCUCUGCCACCCUUCCCCAGCAAGGACUAUUGUAGAAAAAAUUCCAGAUAUCAGAUCACGUUCCCCACAAAUAUUUCAGCGUGUUUCUUUCAAUGGGGAUGCCUUUAAAAUGUAUAAUUAUGAUUCCCUUAUUACAGAAAAAAGUCCACUAAAUAAAAAUCCAUGAAGCAUA
Long non-coding RNA from Hyaena hyaena (striped hyena), 320 nucleotides. RefSeq lists it as uncharacterized. The transcript has 2 exons. The record is from RefSeq and is a predicted model, not a curated record. NCBI's taxonomy places the organism in Eukaryota, Metazoa, Chordata, Mammalia, Carnivora, Hyaenidae.